RNAcentral lists this ribosomal RNA (443 nucleotides) under uncultured bacterium. RNAcentral's name for it is "partial 16S ribosomal RNA". It matches the Rfam family "Bacterial small subunit ribosomal RNA", at positions 338 to 795 of the family's 1533-position model. The record is from RNAcentral.
CCUACGGGAGGCAGCAGUGGGGAAUAUUGGGCAAUGGGCGCAAGCCUGACCCAGCAACGCCGCGUGAAGGAAGAAGGCCCUCGGGUUGUAAACUUCUUUUAUCAAGGACGAAACAAAUGACGGUACUUGAUGAAUAAGCCACGGCUAACUACGUGCCAGCAGCCGCGGUAAUACGUAGGUGGCAAGCGUUAUCCGGAUUUACUGGGUGUAAAGGGCGUGUAGGCGGGACUGCAAGUCAGAUGUGAAAACCAUGGGCUCAACCCAUGGCCUGCAUUUGAAACUGUAGUUCUUGAGUGUUGGAGAGGCAGGCGGAAUUCCGUGUGUAGCGGUGAAAUGCGUAGAUAUACGGAGGAACACCAGUGGCGAAGGCGAGAACUUAGGCUAUCACUGACGCUUAGGCUCGAAAGUGUGGGGAGCAAAUAGGAUUAGAUACCCGGGUAGUC